AGCAGCCGCGGUAAUUCCAGCUCCAAUAGCGUAUAUUAAAGUUGUUGCAGUUAAAAAGCUCGUAGUUGAAUUUCGGGAUUAGUGCGCUGGUCAUGCCUUUGGUAUGUACUGGUGUUACUGGUUUCUACCUUCUGAAGAACCGUUAUGUCAUUUAUUUGGUGUGGCGGGGAAUCAGGACUGUUACUUUGAAAAAAUUAGAGUGUUUAAAGCAGGCACGCGCUUGAAUACAUUAGCAUGGAAUAAUGAAAUAGGACGUUUGACCCUAUUUUGUUGGUUUCUAGGAUCGACGUAAUGAUUAAUAGGGAUAGUUGGGGGCAUUAGUAUUCAAUUGUCAGAGGUGAAAUUCUUGGAUUUAUUGAAGACUAACUACUGCGAAAGCAUUUGCCAAGGAUGUUUUCAUUAAUCAAGAACGAAAGUUAGGGGAUCGAAGACGAUCAGAUACCGUCGUAGUCUUAACCAUAAACUAUGCCGACUAGGGAUCGGAUGAUGUUAUUUUAAUGACUCAUUCGGCGCCUUACGG
This 520-nucleotide ribosomal RNA is filed under the name uncultured Glomeromycotina. RNAcentral describes it as "SSU rRNA". It matches the Rfam family "Eukaryotic small subunit ribosomal RNA", at positions 569 to 1093 of the family's 1831-position model. The record is from RNAcentral. Lineage: Eukaryota; Fungi; Glomeromycota.